UACGUAGGGUGCAAGCGUUGUCCGGAAUUAUUGGGCGUAAAGAGCUCGUAGGCGGUUUGUCGCGUCUGCUGUGAAAACGCGAGGCUCAACCUCACGCCUGCAGUGGGUACGGGCAGACUAGAGUGCGGUAGGGGAGAUUGGAAUUCCUGGUGUAGCGGUGGAAUGCGCAGAUAUCAGGAGGAACACCGAUGGCGAAGGCAGAUCUCUGGGCCGUAACUGACGCUGAGGAGCGAAAGCGUGGGGAGCGAACAGG
This 253-nucleotide ribosomal RNA is filed under the name uncultured bacterium. Its description in RNAcentral is "partial 16S ribosomal RNA". It matches the Rfam family "Bacterial small subunit ribosomal RNA", at positions 524 to 776 of the family's 1533-position model. The record is from RNAcentral.